Molecule: ribosomal RNA, 1440 nt
Filed under: uncultured organism
Description: SSU rRNA
Rfam family: Bacterial small subunit ribosomal RNA
Source: RNAcentral
CAUGAUGAACGCUAGCGACAGGCUUAACACAUGCAAGUCGAGGGGCAGCACAGGUAGCAAUACCGGGUGGCGACCGGCGCACGGGUGAGUAACGCGUAUGCAACUUGCCUAUCAGAGGGGGAUAACCCGGCGAAAGUCGGACUAAUACCGCAUGAAGCAGGGAUCCCGCAUGGGAAUAUUUGCUAAAGAUUCAUCGCUGAUAGAUAGGCAUGCGUUCCAUUAGGCAGUUGGCGGGGUAACGGCCCACCAAACCGACGAUGGAUAGGGGUUCUGAGAGGAAGGUCCCCCACAUUGGUACUGAGACACGGACCAAACUCCUACGGGAGGCAGCAGUGAGGAAUAUUGGUCAAUGGCCGAGGGGCUGAACCAGCCAAGUCGCGUGAGGGAUGAAGGUUCUAUGGAUCGUAAACCUCUUUUAUAAGGGAAUAAAGUGCGGGACGUGUCCCGUUUUGUAUGUACCUUAUGAAUAAGGAUCGGCUAACUCCAUGCCAGCAGCCGCGGUAAUACGGAGGAUCCGAGCGUUAUCCGGAUUUAUUGGGUUUAAAGGGCGCGUAGGCGGCCUUUUAAGUCAGCGGUGAAAGUCUGUGGCUCAACCAUAGAAUUGCCGUUGAAACUGGGGGGCUUGAGUAUGUUUGAGGCAGGCGGAAUGCGUGGUGUAGCGGUGAAAUGCAUAGAUAUCACGCAGAACCCCGAUUGCGAAGGCAGCCUGCCAAGCCAUUACUGACGCUGAUGCACGAAAGCGUGGGGGAUCAAACAGGAUUAGAUACCCUGGUAGUCCACGCAGUAAACGAUGAUCACUAGCUGUUUGCGAUACACUGUAAGCGGCACAGCGAAAGCGUUAAGUGAUCCACCUGGGGAGUACGCCGGCAACGGUGAAACUCAAAGGAAUUGACGGGGGCCCGCACAAGCGGAGGAACAUGUGGUUUAAUUCGAUGAUACGCGAGGAACCUUACCCGGGUUUGAACGCAUUCGGACCGAGGUGGAAACACCUUUUCUAGCAAUAGCCGUUUGCGAGGUGCUGCAUGGUUGUCGUCAGCUCGUGCCGUGAGGUGUCGGCUUAAGUGCCAUAACGAGCGCAACCCUUGCCACUAGUUACUAACAGGUAAAGCUGAGGACUCUGGUGGGACUGCCAGCGUAAGCUGCGAGGAAGGCGGGGAUGACGUCAAAUCAGCACGGCCCUUACAUCCGGGGCGACACACGUGUUACAAUGGCGUGGACAAAGGGAGGCCACCUGGUGACAGGGAGCGAAUCCCCAAACCACGUCUCAGUUCGGAUCGGAGUCUGCAACCCGACUCCGUGAAGCUGGAUUCGCUAGUAAUCGCGCAUCAGCCAUGGCGCGGUGAAUACGUUCCCGGGCCUUGUACACACCGCCCGUCAAGCCAUGGGAGCCGGGGGUACCUGAAGUCCGUAACCGCGAGGAUCGGCCUAGGGUAAAACCGG